AUUUGCAAUGCGGAUCAUGCUAACAGUGUUUGAAUGUCGACAGCAUUUGCGUUAAUUCAUUGAGAAUUUAGUGUUUGCUUGAUAAUCGUAAUUUUUUCUUGCUGAGAUAUUAGUAAGACUGGAGAAAAUAAAUUCACAAACUGGAAAUAAUUCAAUUCAUGGUAGUUUCAGGUUGUAAGAAGUUUUUGAGCUAAUAUUUGCCAAUUGCUACAUUUCUAAUAAGACAUGAUGGUGCUUCAACAAGUGAGCUGCUUGCUUUGCUUUUUUGAUUUUGAAUAUAUUUUUUUUGUUUAGUUCUUGCGAAUUUAAGUUUAGUUUUGGUGAGUUGCCUCUGCUACCUCUUGUUAGAUUCCAUCUGCUAGGGGUAGAUUUUAGUUUCUGUUUUUAUGAAUGCUGAAAUUAAUAUGGUUUUCCGAGAGUCAUGAUUAAA
RNAcentral lists this unclassified non-coding RNA (430 nucleotides) under Hevea brasiliensis (rubber tree). Lineage: Eukaryota; Viridiplantae; Streptophyta; Magnoliopsida; Malpighiales; Euphorbiaceae. The record is from RNAcentral.